AUUGAACGCUGGCGGCAGGCUUAACACAUGCAAGUCGAGCGGAGAUGAGGUGCUUGCACCUUAUCUUAGCGGCGGACGGGUGAGUAAUGCUUAGGAAUCUGCCUAUUAGUGGGGGACAACAUUCCGAAAGGAAUGCUAAUACCGCAUACGUCCUACGGGAGAAAGCAGGGGAUCUUCGGACCUUGCGCUAAUAGAUGAGCAUAAGUCGGAUUAGCUAGUUGGUGGGGUAAAGGCCGACCAAGGCGACGAUCUGUAGCGGGUCUGAGAGGAUGAUCCGCCACACUGGGACUGAGACACGGCCCAGACUCCUACGGGAGGCAGCAGUGGGGAAUAUUGGACAAUGGGGGGAACCCUGAUCCAGCCAUGCCGCGUGUGUGAAGAAGGCCUUAUGGUUGUAAAGCACUUUAAGCGAGGAGGAGGCUACUGAGACUAAUACUCUUGGAUAGUGGACGUUACUCGCAGAAUAAGCACCGGCUAACUCUGUGCCAGCCGCCGCGGUAA
Molecule: ribosomal RNA, 501 nt
Filed under: uncultured bacterium
Lineage: Bacteria
Description: partial 16S ribosomal RNA
Rfam family: Bacterial small subunit ribosomal RNA
Source: RNAcentral